CGAGUCCGCCGGGCGAUCGCGGUACGCCGAGGAAAGUCCGGACUCCACAGGGCACGGUGCUGGGUAACACCCAGGCGGGGCGACCCGACGGAAAGUGCAACAGAGAGCAGACCGCCGAUGGCCUUCGGGCACAGGCAAGGGUGAAACGGUGGGGUAAGAGCCCACCAGCGUCCCGGGCGACCGGGCGGAUCGGCAAACCCCACCGGGAGCAAGGCCGAGCAGGGACAGGGUGGCCCGCCCGUCACGUCCCGGGUUGGCCGCAUCGAGCUCGACCGGCAACGGCGGGCCCAGACAGAUGAUCGCCGCCGGCUCCGGCCGGCACAGAAUCCGGCUUACAGGCGGACUCGAGAC
Molecule: RNase P RNA, 351 nt
Filed under: Actinobacteria bacterium RBG_16_67_15
Lineage: Bacteria; Bacillati; Actinomycetota
Description: RNase P RNA component class A
Rfam family: Bacterial RNase P class A
About the family: Ribonuclease P (RNase P) is a ubiquitous endoribonuclease, found in archaea, bacteria and eukarya as well as chloroplasts and mitochondria. Its best characterised activity is the generation of mature 5'-ends of tRNAs by cleaving the 5'-leader elements of precursor-tRNAs.
Source: RNAcentral